This 510-nucleotide ribosomal RNA is filed under the name uncultured bacterium. Its description in RNAcentral is "partial 16S ribosomal RNA". It matches the Rfam family "Bacterial small subunit ribosomal RNA", at positions 28 to 507 of the family's 1533-position model. The record is from RNAcentral.
GACGAACGCUGGCGGCGUGCUUAACACAUGCAAGUCGAACGAAGAGCGAUGGAAGCUUGCUUCUAUCAAUCUUAGUGGCGAACGGGUGAGUAACGCGUAAUCAACCUGCCCUUCAGAGGGGGACAACAGUUGGAAACGACUGCUAAUACCGCAUACGAUCUGACCUCGGCAUCGAGGAUAGAUGAAAGGUGGCCUCUAUUUAUAAGCUAUCACUGAAGGAGGGGAUUGCGUCUGAUUAGCUAGUUGGAGGGGUAACGGCCCACCAAGGCGAUGAUCAGUAGCCGGUCUGAGAGGAUGAACGGCCACAUUGGGACUGAGACACGGCCCAGACUCCUACGGGAGGCAGCAGUGGGGAAUCUUCCGCAAUGGACGAAAGUCUGACGGAGCAACGCCGCGUGAGGGAUGACGGCCUUCGGGUUGUAAAGCUCUGUUAAUCGGGACGAAAGGCCUUCUUGCGAAUAGUUAGAAGGAUUGACGGUACCGGAAGAGAAAGCCACGGCUAACUACGUG